GCGGCGUGCUUAACACAUGCAAGUCGAGCGGUAAGGCCCUUCGGGGUACACGAGCGGCGAACGGGUGAGUAACACGUGGGUAACCUGCCCUGUACUCUGGGAUAAGCCUGGGAAACUAGGUCUAAUACCGGAUAUGACCUGUCACCGCAUGGUGGUGGGUGGAAAGUUCCGGCGGUACGGGAUGGACCCGCGGCCUAUCAGCUUGUUGGUGGGGUAAUGGCCUACCAAGGCGACGACGGGUAGCCGGCCUGAGAGGGUGACCGGCCACACUGGGACUGAGACACGGCCCAGACUCCUACGGGAGGCAGCAGUGGGGAAUAUUGCACAAUGGGCGAAAGCCUGAUGCAGCGACGCCGCGUGAGGGAUGACGGCCUUCGGGUUGUAAACCUCUUUCAGCAGGGACGAAGCGUGAGUGACGGUACCUGCAGAAGAAGCACCGGCUAACUACG
RNAcentral lists this ribosomal RNA (449 nucleotides) under bacterium gwi04. RNAcentral describes it as "bacterial SSU rRNA". It matches the Rfam family "Bacterial small subunit ribosomal RNA", at positions 39 to 505 of the family's 1533-position model. The record is from RNAcentral.